GUCCCAGUAGCUCAGCAGGAUAGAGCAACAGCCUUCUAAGCUGUAGGCCGCAGGUUCGAAUCCUGCCUGGGACG
RNAcentral lists this transfer RNA (74 nucleotides) under Lentibacillus salicampi. It matches the Rfam family "tRNA". Rfam says of the family: Transfer RNA (tRNA) molecules are approximately 80 nucleotides in length. Their secondary structure includes four short double-helical elements and three loops (D, anti-codon, and T loops). Lineage: Bacteria; Bacillati; Bacillota; Bacilli; Caryophanales; Bacillaceae. The record is from Rfam by way of RNAcentral.